CGCGUAGGCGGAUUAAUAAGUCAGUGGUGAAAACCUGCAGCUUAACUGUAGACUUGCCAUCGAUACUGUUAGUCUUGAGUACGGUCAAGGUAGGCGGAAUGUGUAAUGUAGCGGUGAAAUGCUUAGAUAUUACACAGAACACCGAUUGCGAAGGCAGCUUACUGGGCCAUUACUGACGCUGAGGCACGAAAGCGUGGGGAGCGAACAGGAUUAGAUACCCUGGUAGUCC
This 229-nucleotide ribosomal RNA is filed under the name uncultured bacterium. RNAcentral's name for it is "partial 16S ribosomal RNA". It matches the Rfam family "Bacterial small subunit ribosomal RNA", at positions 568 to 796 of the family's 1533-position model. The record is from RNAcentral.